This 634-nucleotide long non-coding RNA is filed under the name Salvia miltiorrhiza (redroot sage). RNAcentral describes it as "long non-coding RNA (SMIL_LNC012173)". Lineage: Eukaryota; Viridiplantae; Streptophyta; Magnoliopsida; Lamiales; Lamiaceae. The record is from RNAcentral.
ACGGAUUGAGGUACAUUAAUGUAAAUUUCAUCAGAAUGCAUGAGACACAUCCACUACAUACGUAUUAAUUCAACUAAUUCAUGGGAUUAAUCGAAUUGACGCCAUUAACUAGCUACGACAACAUAGUUUAUUUAGGAUAAUACAAUCACACCAUCAACUACGACAACAGACUUUACUUCAACAAAACAUAUAGUAUAUCGGAUUAAGGAAACCAUCGUGAGGUGGUCUCUUGUGAAACCGGUUUUUUAAAAAAAACGAUUUUUUGUGAACCAUGCAUUCAUGCUGUCCCAUUUUUUCCGCAGCAAGCCCAACAAUACCUUCCUGCAUUAUUACAGCCGCAGCAUCCAUACAUCUUCCUAUGUAUAACAGAAUCUGCUGGAAGAGGAAGAUGAUCAAUAUUCUGAUCAACAUCAUCUUUUGAGAGAGAAGCCCAUGAAACGACGUCGGAAUGAGGGCUACUAACGUAGCACCACAGUGCAAAUCCCAUAAGAAAUAUUGCAAACAAUAUUGGCAGUUUGGUAGCUCUAGACAUGCUUAAGUAAUUUCUACAAAACCCUAAUUUGUUUUUCUUUUCUUUGGUGGUGUUUUCUUGAAAUUAAUUACACAAAAUCAUGCAGUUUCUGUGGGUUUAUAU